Molecule: long non-coding RNA, 514 nt
Organism: Diabrotica virgifera virgifera (western corn rootworm)
Lineage: Eukaryota; Metazoa; Arthropoda; Insecta; Coleoptera; Chrysomelidae
Exons: 2
Source: RefSeq, a predicted model, not a curated record
UGCUGUUUCACUCUUACGCAUAGUAAAGCUGCUACAGUUGUCCUCCUCUUCCGUGCCUAUAUUCACACUUAAUGUCAUCAUAGAUUUUCGAUACAAUGUGUUAGAAAGAGAUGCAGCAAACCAGUCCAUGAGAUCUUGUCGUCAGGAAGCGCGGAAGGGCGCAAGAGUGGUGUACAGUUUAGCAGCUGCAUUUCGACGUUUAUAAAUUUCCACAUCCUUUCUUCAUAAAUGAUGGAGCAUGGAUUAUUCUUCAAUAUUAUAACAAACUAAAUAUUUCUUUAAUAUAUCUUAGCCUUUAUUGAAUAUAGUACAUCGUACUUAAACACCAACACAUACGCACAUUCACACAAACAUGCACAUAUACAAACACGUACGAGUACACUUAUUUACACAAUACACCCACACAAAGACAACAUGAAACACACGUAGAACUCACAACGGUUUAGCUUGAAUUAUAUACAUAAUAAAUAAUUAAAACUGUAAGUUAAUCAUAAUAAAUAUAGAUUCCACAAUC